GAAAAGGCGAAAGCUAAGAUGAAAAAAAAAAAAAAAAAGAAUCGACCGUUCAAGUAUUCAAAAUUGCACGGAUAGAAAUAGGGGCAUAUCUAAGUAUAAUAAAUAUAUUAUAUAUAGUAUAAUAUAUAUGUUAUGCGGUAUAUAUCUAUAUUGAAUUUCUGAUAUAGAAAUGUGAUAUAGAAAUGAUAGAAUCAUUUCUGAUUGGACCAAAUACUGGUCUCCGAUAGAGAUCAAAGAAAAUAGACAAGAAAUCAAAUAGUAGAAAACACUUUUCAAUAUAGGAACCGGUAUAUAAUGAAUUCAACGGUUCCAGCAUAAUAUAAAUGAAAGAAAAAAGGGUGACGGCAUCAUAAUGUGAUCCUAAUCACAUCACAAAACAAAAAAGGGGAUAUGGCGAAAUUGGUAGACGCUACGGACUUAAUUGGAUUGAGCCUUGGUAUGGAAACCUACCAAGUGAGAACUUUCAAAUUCAGAGAAACCCUGGAAUUAAAAAUGGGCGAUCCUGAGCCAAAUCCUGUUUUAUUAAAACAAACAAGGGUUUCAUAAACCGAGAAUAAAAAAGGAUAGGUGCAGAGACUCAAUGGAAGCUGUUCUAACAAAUGGAGUUGGCUGCAUUGUGUUAGUAAAGGAAUCCUUACAUCGAAACUUCCGAAAGGAUGAAGGAUAAACCUAUAUGCAUACGUAUAGUACUGCAAUACUAUCUCCAAAUGAUUAAUGACGGCUCGAAUCUGUAUUUUUUUAUAUUUAUAUGAAAAACGAAAGAAUUGUUGUGAAUCAAUUAAAAAUUGAAAAAAGAAUCGAAUAUCCAUUGAUCAAAUCAUUCACUCCAUCAUAGUCUGAUAGAUCUUUUUAAGAAUUGAUUAAUCGGACGAGAAUAAAGAUAGAGUCCCAUUAUACAUGUCAAUAUCGACAACAAUGAAAUUUAUAGUAAGAGGAAAAUCCGUCGACUUUAGAAAUCGUGAGGGUUCAAGUCCCUCUAUCCCCAAAACGAAACGGUUGACUCCCUAAUUAUUUAUCUUUUAUCAUUUUGUUAGCGAUUCAAAAUUCGUUAUGUUUCUCAUUCAUUCUACUCUUUCACAAACGGAUCUGAGCGGAAAUUUUUUUCUUAUCACAAGCCUCGUGUGUUAUAUAUAUGAUACACGUACAAACGAACAUCUUUGAGCAAGGAAUCCCCAUUAAAAAUUUAAUUUGAAUAAUUAACAAUAUAUAUCAUUACUUGUACUGAAACUUAGAAUUUUUUUUGAAGAUCCAAGAAAUUCUAUACAGGGCCUGUAUAAUACUUUGUAAUACUUUUUUCGUUUUUCUAAUUGACAUAGACCCAAGUCCUAUAUUAAAAUAAAAUGAGGAUGAUGCGAUGUGUCGUGACUGGUCGGG
Molecule: long non-coding RNA, 1374 nt
Filed under: Prunus dulcis (almond)
Lineage: Eukaryota; Viridiplantae; Streptophyta; Magnoliopsida; Rosales; Rosaceae
Description: sRNA ncRNA
Rfam family: Group I catalytic intron (bases 410-910)
Source: RNAcentral